AACGAACGCUGGCGGCAUGCCUAACACAUGCAAGUCGAACGAGACCUUCGGGUCUAGUGGCGCACGGGUGCGUAACGCGUGGGAACCUGCCCUUAGGUUCGGAAUACCUCCCCGAAAGGGGUGCUAAUACCGGUUAAUGUCUUCGGACCAAAGAUGUACCGCCUUUGGAUGGGCGCGCGUUGGAUUAGCUAGUUGGUAGGGUAAAAGCCUACCAAGGCGACGAUCCAUAGCUGGUCGGAGAGGAGGCUCAGCCACACUGGGACUGAGACACGGCCCAGACUCCUACGGAAGGGAGCAGUGGGGAAUAUUAGACGAUGGGCGAAAGCCUGAUCCAGCAAUGCCGCGGGAGUGAUGAAGGCCUUAGGGUUGUAAAGCUCUUUUACCCGGGAUGAUAAUGACAGUACCGGGAGAAUAAGCACCGGCUAACUACGUG
Molecule: ribosomal RNA, 433 nt
Filed under: uncultured bacterium
Lineage: Bacteria
Description: partial 16S ribosomal RNA
Rfam family: Bacterial small subunit ribosomal RNA
Source: RNAcentral